UACGGAGGGUGCAAGCGUUGCUCGGAAUUAUUGGGCGUAAAGGGCAGGUAGGUGGUCUCAUUUGUCUGGGGUGAAAGCCUUGAGCUUAACUCAAGAAGUGCCUCAGAAACGGUGAGACUAGAGUCCUGGAGAGGGUCGUGGAAUUCCCGGUGUAGCGGUGAAAUGCGUAGAGAUCGGGAGGAACACCAGAGGCGAAGGCGGCGACCUGGACAGGUACUGACACUCAACUACGAAAGCGUGGGGAGCAAACAGG
RNAcentral lists this ribosomal RNA (253 nucleotides) under uncultured bacterium. RNAcentral describes it as "partial 16S ribosomal RNA". It matches the Rfam family "Bacterial small subunit ribosomal RNA", at positions 524 to 776 of the family's 1533-position model. The record is from RNAcentral.